CCUACGGGGGGCUGCAGUAAGGAAUAUUGGGCAAUGGAGGCAACUCUGACCCAGCCAUGCCGCGUGAAGGAUGACGGCCCUAUGGGUUGUAAACUUCUUUUAUACGGGAAUAAACCCGGGUACGUGUACCCGGCUGAAUGUACCGUAAGAAUAAGGAUCGGCUAACUCCGUGCCAGCAGCCGCGGUAAUACGGAGGAUCCAAGCGUUAUCGGGAUUCAAGGGGGCUAAAGGGUGCGUGUGCGGCAUCGGUGAAAUCCUACAGCUUAACUGUAGAACUGCCGUUGAUACUGCAAGUCUUGAGUACAUUUGAUGUGGGCGGAAUGUGUCAUGUAGCGGUGAAAUGCUUAGAUAUGACACGGAACACCGAUUGCGAAGGCAGCUCACAAAACUGUAACUGACGCUGAGGCACGACAGCGUGGGGAUCAAACAGGAUUAGAUACCCCUGUAGUC
Molecule: ribosomal RNA, 450 nt
Filed under: uncultured bacterium
Lineage: Bacteria
Description: partial 16S ribosomal RNA
Rfam family: Bacterial small subunit ribosomal RNA
Source: RNAcentral